UGGCUUCUGGGUGUUUAUUACUGAAGUA
This 28-nucleotide non-coding RNA is filed under the name Mus musculus (house mouse). The record is from RNAcentral. Lineage: Eukaryota; Metazoa; Chordata; Mammalia; Rodentia; Muridae.